Molecule: unclassified non-coding RNA, 342 nt
Filed under: soil metagenome
Description: partial contains 5.8S ribosomal RNA, internal transcribed spacer 2, and large subunit ribosomal RNA
Rfam family: 5.8S ribosomal RNA (bases 1-120)
Source: RNAcentral
GAUGAAGAACGCAGCGAAAUGCGAUACGUAGUGUGAAUUGCAGAAUUCAGUGAAUCAUCGAAUCUUUGAACGCACAUUGCGCCCGCCAGCAUUCUGGCGGGCAUGCCUGUUCGAGCGUCAUUUCAACCCUCGAGCCCCCCCGGGGGCCUCGGUGUUGGGGGACGGCACACCAGCCGCCCCCGAAAUGCAGUGGCGACCCCGCCGCAGCCUCCCCUGCGUAGUAGCACACACCUCGCACCGGAGCGCGGAGGCGGUCACGCCGUAAAACGCCCAACUUUCUUAGAGUUGACCUCGGAUCAGGUAGGAAUACCCGCUGAACUUAAGCAUAUCAUAAGCGGAGGA